Molecule: ribosomal RNA, 380 nt
Filed under: uncultured cyanobacterium
Lineage: Bacteria; Bacillati; Cyanobacteriota
Description: bacterial SSU rRNA
Rfam family: Bacterial small subunit ribosomal RNA
Source: RNAcentral
CGAAAGCCUGACGGAGCAAUACCGCGUGAGGGAAGAAGGCUCUUGGUUCGUAAACCUCUUUUGUUUGGGAAGAAACCUGGACGGUACCAAACGAAUAAGCAUCGGCUAACUCCGUGCCAGCAGCCGCGUUAAGACGGAGGAUGCAAGCGUUAUCCGGAAUUAUUGGGCGUAAAGCGUCCGUAGGUGUUAGUUCAAGUCUGUGGUUAAAGCGUGGAGCUUAACUCCAUAAAGCCCAUGGAUACUGAACAACUAGAGUGAGUUAGGGGUAGAGGGAAUUCUCGGUGUAGCGGUGAAAUGCGUAGAUAUCGGGAAGAACACCGGUGGCGAAAGCGCUCUACUGGACCUUAACUGACACUGAGGGACGAAAGCUAGUGGGAGCG